UACAGAGGUGGCAAGCGUUGUUCGGAAUUACUGGGCGUAAAGGGCGCGUAGGUGGCCAUCUAAGUCAGACGUGAAAUCCCCCGGCUUAACCUGGGAACUGCGUCUGAUACUGGACGGCUAGAGUAUGGGAGAGGGAUGCGGAAUUCCAGGUGUAGCGGUGAAAUGCGUAGAUAUCUGGAGGAACACCGGUGGCGAAGGCGGCAUCCUGGACCAAUACUGACGCUGAGGAGCGAAAGCUAGGGGAGCAAACGGG
Molecule: ribosomal RNA, 253 nt
Filed under: uncultured bacterium
Lineage: Bacteria
Description: partial 16S ribosomal RNA
Rfam family: Bacterial small subunit ribosomal RNA
Source: RNAcentral